UCGAGCGCUGAUUUCGGGGUAGCAAUAUUCCGGAGUCGGAGCGGCGCAAGGGUGCGUAACACGUGGGUAAUCUGCCAUGAAGUCUGGAAUAACUUGCUGAAAGGCGAGCUAAUACCGGAUGUGACGAUCGGGAGACAUCUCCUGGUUUUUAAAGUUGGGGACCGUAAGGCCUGACGCUUCAUGAUGAACCCGCGGCCUAUCAGCUAGUUGGUGAGGUAACGGCCCACCAAGGCUAAGACGGGUAGCUGGUCUGAGAGGACGACCAGCCACACUGGAACUGAGACACGGUCCAGACACCUACGGGUGGCAGCAGUCGAGAAUUUUUCACAAUGGGCGCAAGCCUGAUGGAGCGACGCCGCGUGGGGGAUGAAUGGCUUCGGCCCGUAAACCCCUGUCAUUCGCGAUCAAACCUUGUUAUUUAAAAGAUGACGAGCUGAUAGUAGCGGAAGAGGAAGGGACGGCUAACUCUGUGCCAGCAGCCGCGGUAAUACAGAGGUCCCGAGCGUUGUUCGGAUUCACUGGGCGUAAAGGGUGCGUAGGUGGUGAGGUAAGUCGGAUGUGAAAUCUCGGAGCUCAACUCCGAAAUGGCAUUGGAAACUACCUUGCUCGAGGAAUGGAGGGGGGACUGGAAUUCACGGUGUAGCA
Molecule: ribosomal RNA, 645 nt
Filed under: uncultured Verrucomicrobiota bacterium
Lineage: Bacteria; Pseudomonadati; Verrucomicrobiota
Description: bacterial SSU rRNA
Rfam family: Bacterial small subunit ribosomal RNA
Source: RNAcentral